GAGCCCAAAUUAAACAGCCCACACCUAUCUCCUCUCUCAUUUCACAAUACCAGAGCCAUCUUUUCUCACUCUCUCUCCUCAACAUAACCCUAAACCCCAAAAUAAUUCAUCAUCUCCUCUUCUCUUCACCGUCAUCUCUCUCCUCAUCUCCUGCUCGCUUCACCAGCAACACCAUCAGUACCGUCGUCUCUCUUUUCAUCUCCUCCUCUCUUCACCAGCAACGCCAUAAGCGAACCUCAAGAACUCAGUGAGGCGAUUUCAAUUGAUGCGAUUUCGUUUCAUUUUUCUGCCAUCAGAUCAUAGUGUCAGAAACUUGAAGCAAUCCUACUCAGAUAUACUGUGGUUAGGUGCUGCAUGGACUUGUGGAAAGCAGCUAAAACACUACCAUGCGUCUUGCAGGAAUGGCACUACGAUUGCAGAUUGACAAGUUUCUGGAGGUUGUAGAUGGUCAUUGUGGAUGAAGCAAAUGGGAUUGAGCUGAAGAAGUACUGCACAUUCUAUUUCUUUUGUUCUCCUUUGUAUUUAACCAAUAACUUUCAAUUUGGUUCUGAUUUUGAUCUUUGCUGCGAUGCUUACUUUUAUAAUAAUAACUAUCAAUCCACAGUUACUUUGAAUCUGUGCUUUUGACCCAUUGCCCAUGAAAUUCUGUAUUGCAUCAAUACUUGAAUAUAGCAGAGAUCUCUGCUACAGUUGGAAAUAAAGUACUCUGAUUGUUGUUUUUUUGA
Long non-coding RNA from Beta vulgaris subsp. vulgaris (sugar beet), 725 nucleotides. RefSeq lists it as uncharacterized. The record is from RefSeq and is a predicted model, not a curated record. Lineage: Eukaryota; Viridiplantae; Streptophyta; Magnoliopsida; Caryophyllales; Amaranthaceae. The transcript is spliced from 3 exons.